UGGGGAAUAUUGCACAAUGGGCGAAAGCCUGAUGCAGCGACGCCGCGUGAAGGAUGAAGUAUUUCGGUAUGUAAACUUCUAUCAGCAGGGAAGAAAAUGACGGUACCUGACUAAGAAGCCCCGGCUAACUACGUGCCAGCAGCCGCGGUAAUACGUAGGGGGCAAGCGUUAUCCGGAUUUACUGGGUGUAAAGGGAGCGUAGACGGCUGUGCAAGUCUGAAGUGAAAGGCAUGGGCUCAACCUGUGGACUGCUUUGGAAACUGUGCAGCUAGAGUGUCGGAGAGGUAAGUGGAAUUCCUAGUGUAGCGGUGAAAUGCGUAGAUAUUAGGAGGAACACCAGUGGCGAAGGCGGCUUACUGGACGAUGACUGACGUUGAGGCUCGAAAGCGUGGGGAGCAAACA
RNAcentral lists this ribosomal RNA (402 nucleotides) under uncultured bacterium. Its description in RNAcentral is "bacterial SSU rRNA". It matches the Rfam family "Bacterial small subunit ribosomal RNA", at positions 355 to 774 of the family's 1533-position model. The record is from RNAcentral. RNAcentral also lists the same sequence under 1 other name.